GAAGUACUCCUUCCGUCCGAAAAUAUUUGUCUAGAAAAUGAUGAAAAAAGAUGUAUCUAGAACUAAGUUGCAUUUAAAUACAUUCAUUCCUCUAACAAGUAUUUUCGGACGGAGGGAGUAAUAA
Molecule: non-coding RNA, 124 nt
Organism: Triticum aestivum (bread wheat)
Lineage: Eukaryota; Viridiplantae; Streptophyta; Magnoliopsida; Poales; Poaceae
Source: Rfam